RNAcentral lists this ribosomal RNA (437 nucleotides) under uncultured bacterium. RNAcentral's name for it is "bacterial SSU rRNA". It matches the Rfam family "Bacterial small subunit ribosomal RNA", at positions 355 to 785 of the family's 1533-position model. The record is from RNAcentral.
UAGGGAAUUUUCGUCAAUGGGGGAAGCCCUGAACGAGCAAUGCCGCGUGUGUGAAGAAGGUCUUCGGAUCGUAAAGCACUGUUGUAAGUGAAGAAUGCCACAUAGAGGAAAUGCUAUGUGGGUGACGGUAGCUUACCAGAAAGCCACGGCUAACUACGUGCCAGCAGCCGCGGUAAUACGUAGGUGGCAAAGCGUUAUCCGGAAUCAUUGGGCGUAAAGGGUGCGUAGUGGCACGAUAAGUCUGAAGUAAAAGGCAACAGCUCAACUGUUGUAUGCUUUGGAAACUGUCGAGCUAGAGUGCAGAAGAGGGCGAUGGAAUUCCAUGUGUAGCGGUAAAAUGCGUAGAUAUAUGGAGGAACACCAGUGGCGAAGGCGGUCGCCUGGUCUGUAACUGACACUGAUGCACGAAAGCGUGGGGAGCAAAUAGGAUUAGAACC